AUUGAACGCUGGCGGCAGGCUUAACACAUGCAAGUCGAGCGGGGGAAGGUAGCUUGCUACCGGACCUAGCGGCGGACGGGUGAGUAAUGCUUAGGAAUCUGCCUAUUAGUGGGGGACAACAUCUCGAAAGGGAUGCUAAUACCGCAUACGUCCUACGGGAGAAAGCAGGGGAUCUUCGGACCUUGCGCUAAUAGAUGAGCCUAAGUCGGAUUAGCUAGUUGGUGGGGUAAAGGCCUACCAAGGCGACGAUCUGUAGCGGGUCUGAGAGGAUGAUCCGCCACACUGGGACUGAGACACGGCCCAGACUCCUACGGGAGGCAGCAGUGGGGAAUACUGGACAAUGGGGGGAACCCUGAUCCAGCCAUGCCGCGUGUGUGAAGAAGGCCUUAUGGUUGUAAAGCACUUUAAGCGAGGAGGAGGCUACUCUAGUUAAUACCUAGGGAUAGUGGACGUUACUCGCAGAAUAAGCACCGGCUAACUCUGUGCCAGCAGCCGCGGUAG
RNAcentral lists this ribosomal RNA (501 nucleotides) under uncultured bacterium. RNAcentral's name for it is "partial 16S ribosomal RNA". It matches the Rfam family "Bacterial small subunit ribosomal RNA", at positions 30 to 523 of the family's 1533-position model. The record is from RNAcentral.